Long non-coding RNA from Acanthopagrus latus (yellowfin seabream), 586 nucleotides. RefSeq lists it as uncharacterized. The record is from RefSeq and is a predicted model, not a curated record. The transcript is spliced from 2 exons. Lineage: Eukaryota; Metazoa; Chordata; Actinopteri; Spariformes; Sparidae.
CUCCUCGUUGCUCAUAGGGGGGAUCGACGACAAAAACCACAUGAUCUUUUACGUCAGCAUAUAUUUGCAUAGGAUGCCAAAUUUAUGUUUCGCGUCCAGGUGACGUGAAAAUGUACAGAAAAGUUGGAUUGUGAAGCAGCAGGACGCUGCUGCUGCUGCCGCUGCGGGGCUGGUGCGGGGCUGCUGCUGCUGCUGCGGGGCUGGAGGAGGUGGUGGAGGAGGAGGAGGAGGUGCGGGGCAUGUUGCAGCCACGCACUGUGUCCCCCCCGCAACACACUCCUGCAAAAACCACCCGCACCCCGCACAGCACCGCAACACGCACAUAUCGGGUCCAUGCGGGGCAACAUCCUGUUGUAGCCGAUCAGAUGCAACAAACGUGCAGAACCGGUCCAUGAAAACACGACCGACAGCGACACCUACAGGACGGGCCCAGAGCUGCACGGCACGUCUGUGUGUCCGCCUGCUGGGUCCAAAGGAUGCAGGUUCCGGUUCUGGACGGUCAAGCUGAUCCACCUGCAACAUCUGGGCUGAUCACCAUCAUUUUUACACCUUCAUCAGGUCAAUUAAAGGUGUUAUUUUAACAUUA